This is a long non-coding RNA of Mobula hypostoma (lesser devil ray), 1879 nucleotides long. RefSeq lists it as uncharacterized. NCBI's taxonomy places the organism in Eukaryota, Metazoa, Chordata, Chondrichthyes, Myliobatiformes, Myliobatidae. The transcript has 3 exons. The record is from RefSeq and is a predicted model, not a curated record.
UUCAUGCUAUAUGCGCUUUGAUAUCUAAACGAGGGAAUACUGAAUAGUGAAUUAGAAUACUUUAUUCUUUCAAAAUUCUAGACAGAAAGCUUAUUUAGUAUUGGUUUAUUAUUGUCCCAUGUACCAAGAUAGAGUGAAAAGCUUGUCUUGCAUUCUGUUUAUAGAGAUCAAAUCAUUACACAGUACAUUGAUGUAGAAUAAGGUAAGCCAAUAACAAUGCAGAAGGAAGUGUAAACGCUAUCAAAAAGGUGCAGUGCAAGUACGUGAUAAAGUGCAAGAUCACAGCGAGGCAGAUUGUGACACCAAGAGUCCAUUCUAUUGGAUUAAAGGUCUGUUCAAGAGUCUGCUAUCAGCUGCCAGGUAGAAGCUGUCAUUGAUCCUGAUGUACGUAUACACUUUCAGGCCUUUGUAUCUUUCAGCUGAAGAGAGAGAAGAGAAGAGAAAAUGCCUAGGCAUAAAAUCUGUGAGAGUGAAUUUUCAGCCUCAUUACUCCGUGGCAGCCAAGGUUCCCCACCUGAGUCCGUCUCGCCUGGCUGCAUUUGACCCGUCUCCUCGCUACCGGGCCAAGUUCACAGGUUUGAUGCCACGCUGCUAGGUUCAGAAACAGUUGUCCUACAACUACCGGGCCUCUGGACCAGCUUCCCUCCUCUCAGGACUGAACAUACUCCACAGUCUGUGAACUCACUCAAGGGGACUCUGCAGUUCUCGCUCUCGGUACUUUUUCUUUUUGGCCACGAACUUAUCAAUCACCCCUGCUGUGGACCACUUUCUGGAGGUCCAAGAUGCCGACUUCUACAAAGAAGGGAUCCGUAUGCUCCACGACCGCUGGACUAAGUGUGUAAAUGUAGGAGGGGACUAAGUUGAAAAAUAAAUGUGCUAGGCUUUCUAAAAUUGACUCCCUCUACCUUAGGCAACGAACUUAUCAAUCACCCCUCGUAUUUGUCUAGCCCAUCCUCACUCUAGGGUAAGGUUAUAUUCCAUGUGCGUUUGGGCAGCUGUUAGCAGGCAGCGUGGGAAAUUGGGUGGCGGUUAAAUACAACGAAUAUAGUCGCCUGUUCACCAGCAUGGCGGCAUGAAGAGGGGGUGGUGAGUCAGGAGCACAUAUUUUUCACUGACUGCUCAUCUUUGAAUCUUAUCCAAUUACCUUUACACGAAUUACGGAAGAGUCGAAUGAUUUUACUGUUGGUUUGUAAGAAAGGACUAACACUUACUUUUUCAACUUGGAAUUCAGUUACUUGGAUGCACGUCAUACAGUGAGAUACUCCCUCACUUAGCCUUUCAGUGACUUUUAGCUUGUUUUUAGUCGCUACAUGUAGUUUAGUGACGUCUCUGACAAGGUCCCACAUGGGACAGUGGACCAAAACAUAAGAAAACCCGGGAUCCAGGCCAAUUUGGCAAAUUGGGUCUUUAAUUGGCUUAGUAAUACAGGGCAGAGCGCGAUAAAGGAUUUUUGUUUUUGUCCAAACGACAGCCUUUAGCUACUAAAUAACAUCAGAGGGUUGGUAGGAUGGCCAUAGAAAAGGCAGGUGGAAAAUAACGUAAUUUAAAUAUGAGGAGGUGCAUUUUGGGAGAGCUACUAAAGCUAGGGUUCACACAGUAAGUGGGAGGAUACUAAGAACCACUCAACAACAGUGGAAUCCUUGACGAGAGCAGCACAGAGAGAUAAGGUGGUUAGGAAGGCAGAUGGAAAAACUCGGAUUCUUUAUCUCGGACUUACAAUGCAAGAGGAUGGUGGUUUUGCUACGGCUCUGUAAAACAUUAGUGGGGUCAUCUGAGGUCACAGUCACUACAAUAUAGUAAGGAUAUGCUUACACUGGAGGGAGAGCAAAGGAGAUUCGCCAGGAUGUGGCCUCAGAUCAAGUGUUUCAGUGAUGACGAG